Long non-coding RNA from Cottoperca gobio, 328 nucleotides. RefSeq lists it as uncharacterized. NCBI's taxonomy places the organism in Eukaryota, Metazoa, Chordata, Actinopteri, Perciformes, Bovichtidae. The record is from RefSeq and is a predicted model, not a curated record. The transcript has 3 exons.
AUACCAAAGGAUUGGUGGAUCAAGACUUCACCCUCCUAUUUGAUCAUGAAACAUCCUCCAGGCCCCUUCAGAAAUGGGAUUCUUCAGUCCAAAUGUCAUAAAAGAGGCUAAGUGGCUUACUUCAACACCCAGAGUUGCGUCGCUUGUUGCAGAGAGUCCCACAGGAAGUGAUCUUGAUGAGACAACAAUCAUGCUGCAGUUUGGAGGAGCAUCUCCGCAACCAGCAGGGUCGGCAGCCAUACCUCCUCGCUGUUGGGCGUCAGAAGAGCAAGAUUGACAGCUUCUACAUCACCAUGGAUAAGCAUCUCAUCCCACGGCAGGCAAACCG